This 177-nucleotide small nucleolar RNA is filed under the name Hucho hucho (huchen). RNAcentral describes it as "Small nucleolar RNA SNORA81 (ENSHHUG00000038062.1)". It matches the Rfam family "Small nucleolar RNA SNORA81". The record is from Rfam by way of RNAcentral. Lineage: Eukaryota; Metazoa; Chordata; Actinopteri; Salmoniformes; Salmonidae.
CCCUUCCUUUUAAAGCACCCUGCUAAAAUUGGGGCGAAGCCUUGGGGCUUGGCUCUUGCGGUCAUGUAAGCAUGGGUACACCAAGGAAGGACAGUAAAGCCAGGGUUGAAAUGAGGCUAGGGCGGACCUCUUUCUUAAUGUCCAGUGUCCUUUGUCUCAAGAUUCUGUGCUACAAUA